RNAcentral lists this ribosomal RNA (256 nucleotides) under uncultured bacterium. Its description in RNAcentral is "partial 16S ribosomal RNA". It matches the Rfam family "Bacterial small subunit ribosomal RNA", at positions 524 to 776 of the family's 1533-position model. The record is from RNAcentral.
UACGUAGGGCGCGAGCGUUGUCCGGAAUUAUUGGGCGUAAAGAGCUCGUAGGCGGUUUGUCGCGUCGGUUGUGAAAACCCAAGGCUCAACCUUGGGCCUGCAAUCGAUACGGGCAGACUAGAGUACUGCAGGGGAGACUGGAAUUCCUGGUGUAGCGGUGGAAUGCGCAGAUAUCAGGAGGAACACCGGUGGCGAAGGCGGGGUCUCUGGGCAGUAACUGACGCUGGAGGAGCGAAAGCGUGGGGGAGCGAACAGG